Molecule: ribosomal RNA, 382 nt
Filed under: uncultured eukaryote
Lineage: Eukaryota
Description: partial 18S ribosomal RNA
Rfam family: Eukaryotic small subunit ribosomal RNA
Source: RNAcentral
UGUAAGCGUAUACCAAAGUUGUUGCAGUUAAAACGCUCGUAGUCGGAAUUUGGCAGUUCCGGAUGUGUGCACGUCGUGUGCGCACUUCGCGGGGAUUGCUUUUGUGGUCUUGCGUAGGAUGAGGCACUUUUAUUAGUGAACGUCCUCACGCAACCACUUUUUACUGUGAGAAAAUCAGAAUGCUCAAAGCAGGCAUUUGCCGUGAAUGUAUUAGCAUGGAAUAAUAGAAUAGGACUCGGUUCUAUUUUGUUGGUUUGUUGGGACUGAGUAAUGAUUAAGAGGGACAGUUGGGGGCAUUUGUAUUUCGGCGCUAGAGGUGAAAUUCUUAGAUUGCCGAAAGACAAACUGCUGCGAAAGCGUCUGCCAAGGAUGUUUUCAUUGA